Donghicola sp. JL3646 is the source of this 62-nucleotide non-coding RNA. The record is from Rfam. NCBI's taxonomy places the organism in Bacteria, Pseudomonadati, Pseudomonadota, Alphaproteobacteria, Rhodobacterales, Roseobacteraceae.
GGGGACCUUCGGGGCCCUAAACUACGGGGACUAACCUCCCUCAAAGCAACGGAAGACAGAGA